RNAcentral lists this ribosomal RNA (505 nucleotides) under uncultured bacterium. RNAcentral describes it as "bacterial SSU rRNA". It matches the Rfam family "Bacterial small subunit ribosomal RNA", at positions 29 to 509 of the family's 1533-position model. The record is from RNAcentral.
AACGAACGUUGGCGGCGUGGAUUAGGCAUGCAAGUCGAACGCGAAAGGGUAGCAAUACCCGAGUAAAGUGGCGAACGGGUGAGUAACGCGUAGGAAACCUGCCUUCGAGAUGGGGAUAACACUCCUAACGGGGUGCUAAUACCGAAUGACACUGCGAAGUCGCAUGGCUUUGCAGUCAAAGGUGGCCUCUGCUCGCAAGCUACCACUCGAAGAUGGUCCUGCGUCCCAUUAGCUAGUUGGCGAGGUAACGGCUCACCAAGGCGACGAUGGGUAGCCGAUCUGAGAGGAUGACCGGCCACACUGGGACUGAGAUACGGCCCAGACUCCUACGGGAGGCAGCAGUCGAGAGGCUUCGGCAAUGGGGGAAACCCUGACCGAGCGACGCCGCGUGGAGGAUGAAGGCCUUUGGGUUGUAAACUCCUGUCAUGUGGGAAGAAACGCCACCGCGCGAAUAGUACGGUGGUCUGACGGUACCACAAGAGGAAGCUCCGGCUAACUCCGUGCC